Molecule: ribosomal RNA, 423 nt
Filed under: uncultured prokaryote
Description: bacterial SSU rRNA
Rfam family: Bacterial small subunit ribosomal RNA
Source: RNAcentral
UUUCGAAUCUUUCACAAUGGACGAAAGUCUGAUGGAGCAACGCCGCGUGGGUGGUAAGGCCUUCGGGUUGUAAAGCCCUUUCACCGGGGAAGAUGAUGACAUUACCCGGAGAAGAAGCGCCGGCUAACUCCGUGCCAGCAGCCGCGGUAAGACGGAGGGCGCUAGCGUUGUUCGGAAUCACUGGGCGUAAAGGGCGCGUAGGCGGCUGUUUAAGUCGAGGGUGAAAGCCCGGGGCUCAACCCCGGAACGGCCUUCGAGACUGGGCAGCUCGAGACCGGAAGAGGAGGGUGGAAUACCCAGUGUAGAGGUGAAAUUCGUAGAUAUUGGGUGGAACACCAGUGGCGAAAGCGGCUCUCUGGUCCGGAUCUGACGCUGAGGCGCGAAAGCGUGGGGAGCAAACAGGAUUAGAUACCCGCGUAGUCC